CUGCAGUGCUUCUAAUGAGUAUUAAUAGCACCUGAGGGAGGAAGAGCCUCCUUUUCUCAAGGUUUUGGCUGUGUUCUUGGAGUUUCUGCCUUGUGUAACUACAGUGUAACAGUUUUACUGCUGAGACCAUGAUAGAAUUACUGCAAGGUAAAUUUUCCACGCUGUUCAAGCCUAUGACCUGACAGAAUCAGAAUGUCCUAAAAUGUUCAUGUCAUCAAGGCCAUGGUCCCCUAACACAAGUUAAGUCACCACUCACCUCCUGGAGGAAUGCUGACUAAUUCCUUCCAAGAGAAAAUCUGGUUGCAGCUGAUGACAUGUUUUCUUCAGGGACCAGUGAAGCCAAAUAGUGUAAUGUAAGUCACAUCACCUUAGUUUUUCUCCACGUGGCACAGUCUUCCAGUGUUAUCUGGGGAAGCGGAUUCUCAGGAUAAGGCCUGAAAACACAGAAUGCAUUCUCAAGUCACACAUGGGUUUUGUCAUAUACUGAUAUUUUGAUCAAUGCUGGCACUUGAGUGAUAUGCUGCUGAGAA
Long non-coding RNA from Oxyura jamaicensis (ruddy duck), 530 nucleotides. RefSeq lists it as uncharacterized. The transcript is spliced from 4 exons. The record is from RefSeq and is a predicted model, not a curated record. Lineage: Eukaryota; Metazoa; Chordata; Aves; Anseriformes; Anatidae.